CGGGCUAUAGCGCAGCAUGGUAGCGCGUCCGUCUGGGGGACGGAAGGUCGUGAGUUCGAAUCUCGCUAGCCCGA
RNAcentral lists this transfer RNA (74 nucleotides) under Pseudorhodobacter antarcticus. RNAcentral's name for it is "Pseudorhodobacter sp. ZS3-33 tRNA". It matches the Rfam family "tRNA". From Rfam's summary of the family: Transfer RNA (tRNA) molecules are approximately 80 nucleotides in length. Their secondary structure includes four short double-helical elements and three loops (D, anti-codon, and T loops). Further hydrogen bonds mediate the characteristic L-shaped molecular structure. tRNAs have two regions of fundamental functional importance: the anti-codon, which is responsible for specific mRNA codon recognition, and the 3' end, to which the tRNAs corresponding amino acid is attached (by aminoacyl-tRNA synthetases). tRNAs cope with the degeneracy of the genetic code in two manners: having more than one tRNA (with a specific anti-codon) for a particular amino acid; and 'wobble' base-pairing, i.e. permitting non-standard base-pairing at the 3rd anti-codon position. Lineage: Bacteria; Pseudomonadati; Pseudomonadota; Alphaproteobacteria; Rhodobacterales; Paracoccaceae. The record is from Rfam by way of RNAcentral.